UGACGACGCAGGGGACGUGCGACCUCUAGGGACGUCGGCCAAGAGCCAACUGAAGUGGAUCUGCCGGCCCAGCCCGUAUUUGUUUGGUGGACAUCACCCACCACAAGACAUGAUGACCCCGCAGUUUGUUGCUGUGCUGUCAGAAUUUCAUGACCUCGACAAAAGGCCCAAGAUCUGCGUCGUCUUCUACAAACAGCCCGGCCUCUGCGAAGAAUUCGCCAACAUGGAGAAAAGAGGCAGAGUGAUCACGGGCAGCGCCAGGAUCUUACCUGCAACGAGGACUCAUCUUUUAUAAAUACGCCCUCGUUAACACCUACAGCCAAGAGAGAGAGUGUGAAUUAGAGCCCAUUUCUUUAGAGAGCUCCAACAGCCCAGAGUCAUUGAAGUACAGAAACGCUCAAUUACAUCGUGUCGUGAAUAUACCCAAAACGGAGAUCAAA
This is a long non-coding RNA of Aptenodytes forsteri (emperor penguin), 440 nucleotides long. RefSeq lists it as uncharacterized. The record is from RefSeq and is a predicted model, not a curated record. The transcript is spliced from 3 exons. NCBI's taxonomy places the organism in Eukaryota, Metazoa, Chordata, Aves, Sphenisciformes, Spheniscidae.